RNAcentral lists this unclassified non-coding RNA (39 nucleotides) under Trypanosoma rangeli. RNAcentral's name for it is "mini-exon". The record is from RNAcentral. Lineage: Eukaryota; Euglenozoa; Kinetoplastea; Trypanosomatida; Trypanosomatidae.
ACUAUAUUGAACUAACGCUAUUAUUGAUACAGUUUCUGU